RNAcentral lists this long non-coding RNA (846 nucleotides) under Lonchura striata (white-rumped munia). RNAcentral describes it as "domestica (Bengalese finch) lncRNA (ENSLSDG00000003177.1)". The record is from RNAcentral. Lineage: Eukaryota; Metazoa; Chordata; Aves; Passeriformes; Estrildidae.
GUGAGCUGGUCCAACUAUUUUGGGAUGGGAGUGAACACCGAGGGGCUGAUCAUCAUCGGAGGCCUCAUCGAGUCCUUCGAGAUCCCCUUUAAGGGCGCUCUCCAGCAGCUGACCUUCGUGAUGGGAGACCCAGGAGCUGCUGCUGAGCAGUGCCACAGCUACAACUCAACCUGCCCAGGCUCCUCCAGCCUCCACAGGGCCCCGUGGGAGCUCCCAACAGCCUGGCCAGAGGUGCCAAAGGAAACCAAUGAAAUCCAGGAUUCAUCUACUCAGGAUUCCAGACUCACCAGUUCAGAUUCGGCCCCGGGGUCACCUUGGCCAUGGGAGGAUGCCCAGGGGACCCUCAGCCUCCAGCCUGAUGGGAGUGCCCUGGCUUCCCUCUCUGCUCAUGAGUUGCCAUCAGCUGAGGAGGAGGAGGAGGAGGAGGGCAGCCUUUCCAUUGAGGAUGAAGGUUUUGAGCUGCUGAACUCCACCUACAAUAAAAUCACCGGUCCCGGCAGGCCAGCGCUCAGGAGAAGCUCAGGUGAGUCCACAAUUCUCCUCCUUUUCUCCAGCACAAUUUCUGGGAAUCUGACAGUGCUUCAUCCACCCAGCAGCCUCCAUCAAACCCCCCCGAGCAGCCAGGAAGGAGCGUGGCUCUGAUCCCCGUGAGGAGAACGUCACCACGGAGAAGCUGUCGGGGGACGCUGGCGCGCGGUGGCGGCUCCCACCUGGCAAACCUCACCUGGACCCCGUCCCCAAGGUGUCCCCACCUGCUCAUCGGGGGGCUGCUCCCAAAGGAAACGUCCCCAAAGGUCCCCUGAGGGCAGGGGUAGCGCUGGGUGUCCCGCAGCCUCCUCUUGGAGC